RNAcentral lists this ribosomal RNA (1490 nucleotides) under Lacticaseibacillus paracasei. Its description in RNAcentral is "bacterial SSU rRNA". It matches the Rfam family "Bacterial small subunit ribosomal RNA". Lineage: Bacteria; Bacillati; Bacillota; Bacilli; Lactobacillales; Lactobacillaceae. The record is from RNAcentral.
GAUGAACGCUGGCGGCGUGUCUAAUACAUGCAAGUCGAACGAGUUCUCGUUGAUGAUCGGUGCUUGCACCGAGAUUCAACAUGGAACGAGUGGCGGACGGGUGAGUAACACGUGGGUAACCUGCCCUUAAGUGGGGGAUAACAUUUGGAAACAGAUGCUAAUACCGCAUAGAUCCAAGAACCGCAUGGUUCUUGGCUGAAAGAUGGCGUAAUCUAUCGCUUUUGGAUGGACCCGCGGCGUAUUAGCUAGUUGGUGAGGUAACGGCUCACCAAGGCGAUGAUACGUAGCCGAACUGAGAGGUUGAUCGGCCACAUUGGGACUGAGACACGGCCCAAACUCCUACGGGAGGCAGCAGUAGGGAAUCUUCCACAAUGGACGCAAGUCUGAUGGAGCAACGCCGCGUGAGUGAAGAAGGCUUUCGGGUCGUAAAACUCUGUUGUUGGAGAAGAAUGGUCGGCAGAGUAACUGUUGUCGGCGUGACGGUAUCCAACCAGAAAGCCACGGCUAACUACGUGCCAGCAGCCGCGGUAAUACGUAGGUGGCAAGCGUUAUCCGGAUUUAUUGGGCGUAAAGCGAGCGCAGGCGGUUUUUUAAGUCUGAUGUGAAAGCCCUCAGCUUAACCGAGGAAGCGCAUCGGAAACUGGGAAACUUGAGUGCAGAAGAGGACAGUGGAACUCCAUGUGUAGCGGUGAAAUGCGUAGAUAUAUGGAAGAACACCAGUGGCGAAGGCGGCUGUCUGGUCUGUAACUGACGCUGAGGCUCGAAAGCAUGGGUAGCGAACAGGAUUAGAUACCCUGGUAGUCCAUGCCGUAAACGAUGAAUGCUAGGGUUGGAGGGUUUCCGCCCUUCAGUGCCGCAGCUAACGCAUUAAGCAUUCCGCCUGGGGAGUACGACCGCAAGGUUGAAACUCAAAGGAAUUGACGGGGGCCCGCACAAGCGGUGAGCAUGUGGUUUAAUUCGAAGCAACGCGAAGAACCUUACCAGGUCUUGACAUCUUUUGAUCACCUGAGAGAUCAGGUUUCCCCUUCGGGGGCAAAAUGACAGGUGGUGCAUGGUUGUCGUCAGCUCGUGUCGUGAGAUGUUGGGUUAAGUCCCGCAACGAGCGCAACCCUUAUGACUAGUUGCCGGCAUUUAGUUGGGCACUCUAGUAAGACUGCCGGUGACAAACCGGAGGAAGGUGGGGAUGACGUCAAAUCAUCAUGCCCCUUAUGACCUGGGCUACACACGUGCUACAAUGGAUGGUACAACGAGUUGCGAGACCGCGAGGUCAAGCUGAUCUCUUAAAGCCAUUCUCAGUUCGGACUGUAGGCUGCAACUCGCCUACACGAAGUCGGAAUCGCUAGUAAUCGCGGAUCAGCACGCCGCGGUGAAUACGUUCCCGGGCCUUGUACACACCGCCCGUCACACCAUGAGAGUUUGUAACACCCGAAGCCGGUGGCGUAACCCUUUUAGGGAGCGAGCCGUCUAAGGUGGGACAAAUGAUUAGGGUG